Molecule: long non-coding RNA, 263 nt
Organism: Mytilus californianus (California mussel)
Lineage: Eukaryota; Metazoa; Mollusca; Bivalvia; Mytilida; Mytilidae
Exons: 3
Source: RefSeq, a predicted model, not a curated record
AGGAUAUAAUGGAAUAUUGGGGUCAGAAACUUUGUGAUGCUGCUCAGGAGGGAAAUCUUAAAGAUGUGGAAUUAUCUUUACAAAAUGGAGCUAAUUUGGAAUAUAAAGGUGAAUUUGGUAGAAUGACACCAUUAGUUUUGUCUUCUUGGUACGGACACCUGGAGGUGGUGACGUAUCUUGUCACUCGGGGCAGUCAGUUAGAAGCUACAGACUGCGUAAUGAUAAAUAUUAUCUCUUUACUCUGACCAAACUCCAUUUUAUAG